AUCAGAAUGUCGCGGUGAAUACGUUCCCGGGCCUUGUACACACCGCCCGUCACACCAUGAGAGUUGGCAAUACCCAAAGUUCGUGAGCUAACCCGUAAGGGAGGCAGCGACCUAAGGUAGGGUCAGCAAUUGGGGUGAAGUCGUAACAAGGUAGCCGUAGGAGAACCUGCGGCUGGAUCACCUCCUUUCUAUGGAGA
This 197-nucleotide ribosomal RNA is filed under the name Clostridium botulinum. Its description in RNAcentral is "partial 16S ribosomal RNA". It matches the Rfam family "Bacterial small subunit ribosomal RNA", at positions 1348 to 1533 of the family's 1533-position model. The record is from RNAcentral. Lineage: Bacteria; Bacillati; Bacillota; Clostridia; Eubacteriales; Clostridiaceae.